RNAcentral lists this ribosomal RNA (424 nucleotides) under Verrucomicrobiota bacterium. RNAcentral's name for it is "Verrucomicrobia bacterium partial 16S ribosomal RNA". It matches the Rfam family "Bacterial small subunit ribosomal RNA", at positions 355 to 776 of the family's 1533-position model. Lineage: Bacteria; Pseudomonadati; Verrucomicrobiota. The record is from RNAcentral.
UGAGGAAUAUUGGUCAAUGGGCGUGAGCCUGAACCAGCCAAGUAGCGUGCAGGAAGACGGCCCUAUGGGUUGUAAACUGCUUUUAUGCGGGGAUAAAGGAGUCCACGUGUGGAUUUUUGCAGGUACCGCAUGAAUAAGGACCGGCUAAUUCCGUGCCAGCAGCCGCGGUAAUACGGAAGGUCCGGGCGUUAUCCGGAUUUAUUGGGUUUAAAGGGAGCGUAGGCUGUUUGUUAAGCGUGUUGUGAAAUGUAGGAGCUCAACUUUUAGAUUGCAGCGCGAACUGGCAGACUUGAGUGCGCACAACGUAGGCGGAAUUCAUGGUGUAGCGGUGAAAUGCUUAGAUAUCAUGACGAACUCCGAUUGCGAAGGCAGCUUACGGGAGCGCAACUGGCGCUAAAGCUCGAAGGUGCGGGUAUCGAACAGG